AGAUAUGCUGUUAGCCAUAAAUAGGAGUUUACUAUAUAAUCAGCAAAUGUAAUGGGGCAUAUGAAUCACUUAUGAAAUUGUCACAUAGCUAGGAUUUAAUAUAAUAAAGUGGGAGUUAUCCAGAAGAUUGCCAUUCUUAGUAUACUUUUUCUUUCAGGUUCUGAAAAUUUUUAGUAUAACUGUUCAGAAAACAUUAAUGAAAAUUUCAAGACGUACUUCUCCCCAUAACAUUCCCAUAAUGAAGCCUGUUUGAUGGGAGAUGUAUGUAGAUGCCAGUGGUUUUAGGUGAGUGAAUGACAGACAUAGGAAUAUUGUUUGCACAAUGAUUAAAAACGUUUACGUUUUAGACUUUCUUUUCGUUC
Molecule: long non-coding RNA, 362 nt
Filed under: Vombatus ursinus (common wombat)
Lineage: Eukaryota; Metazoa; Chordata; Mammalia; Diprotodontia; Vombatidae
Description: lncRNA (ENSVURG00010015387.1)
Source: RNAcentral